AUUGAACGCUGGCGGCAGGCCUAACACAUGCAAGUCGAACGGAGCGGCGGACGGGUGAGUAAUGCCUAGGUAUCUGCCUGGUAGUGGGGGCUAACGUCAGGAAACGGGCGCUGAUACCGCAUACUAUCAGAUGAGCCUAGGUCGGAUUAGCUAGUUGGUGGGGUAAAGGUCUACCAAGACGACGAUCCGUAACUGGUCUGAGAGGAUGACAAGUCACACUGGAACUGAGACACGGUCCAGACUCCUACGGGAGGCAGCAGUGGGGAAUAUUGGACAAUGGGCGAAAGCCUGAUCCAGCCAUGCCGCGUGUGUGAUGAAGGUCUUCGGAUUGUAAAGCACUUUAAGUUGGGAGGCGUUACCAGCAGAAUAAGCACCGGCUAACUUCGUGCCAGCAGCCGCGGUAAUAC
RNAcentral lists this ribosomal RNA (407 nucleotides) under uncultured bacterium. RNAcentral describes it as "partial 16S ribosomal RNA". It matches the Rfam family "Bacterial small subunit ribosomal RNA", at positions 30 to 526 of the family's 1533-position model. The record is from RNAcentral.